RNAcentral lists this long non-coding RNA (2056 nucleotides) under Panax ginseng (ginseng). RNAcentral describes it as "long non-coding RNA (PGIN_LNC014894)". The record is from RNAcentral. Lineage: Eukaryota; Viridiplantae; Streptophyta; Magnoliopsida; Apiales; Araliaceae.
UUGGACAUAGCUGGUCUUCCUGUGAAAAAACACUCUUUCAAUGCAGUUAAUGCUCAUGAAGCAGAGUCGCCCAUGGUGCGUAAGCCUUUCUCGCCCAUAUCUUCCACAGAAUCAUCAAAGGCUAAUGCAGCAAACUUUUUGGAAGACCUGAACAGAAAACAAAACGAGACAUCACAGAAAACAAUUCCAAGCAACAUUACGCCAUUGGCUACUCCUUCCAAGAUGAUUUCUGCUACAGCAGAGGAAGAGAACAGGACACCUAAAACAAUGGCAAUGCCUGUACCCUCUACUACACCUUCAACAGUAUCAAUUCCAAUGCAAACACUCAUGACUCCAGUUGCUUGCCGUGGUGCUGCUGCUACUCUGAUUAAAGAGAUUCAUGAAGAGAUUGAAUACUCAUUUGAGGAACGAAGAGCAGGGUUUGUGCUUGCCAUAACAACACAUCCCAAACCAGUGUUACAAGUUUGAUUAUGCAAAACUUUUGGUGAUUUUGAUAAAUAUAUUGUUGUUACUGCAUGAUUUGGUGUACUGUUUUGAAUAUUCAAAAUGUGAUUGGUGAAGAAGAGUCAAUACUAAUUGGCUUCUCUAAUGUUUUUAGAUAUUUGAUUUGUGUCGUCUUUGAUAUCCUAUCCAAGUUUGAAGUAAUAAUGAUUUACUUAACUGAAAUGCUAAUAACAUAACAACAUGCUCGAAAUUACAGGUUUUCAAUGGAAGCACUAAAUGCUCCUCCUCGACAAAAUGACCCAGCCAGCCAGCCAGACAGUCUCUUUUAACAUUUGCAUGAAAUUCUUCUAUUUUUGAAUUACGUGAGUCUGAAAGAGAGAGAGCAGGAGAAGAAGCACUAUUUGAUGUGCCUAGCCUAACCCCCCCGCAGUCAGUCUAGCUCUGGCACAAUACUUAAAAUGGCAUCAACAGUAAAUAUCCUAAUAUGAAAGGGCAUAUAAAUUUAUGUUGUCAACUUUAAUUUUACCUGAAAAGACAAAGAACCGGUCAAAGCUUGGAAAAUAGGCAUGGCUCUAACGUUACUUUACAGCUUUAAUUAAUUAAAAUAAUUUAAAACUAAAAUAAUUCUCUUUUCCAAAAUAUCUUAUUUCACAUUCAUUUUACUUUACUUUUUCAUUAUUAAUUCCCUUUUAUUAAAUUUCCAAGACGGACUUGAAAGCAUUUUCUUAACCAAAAUCAAUACUUCGAAUUUUGCAAUUUAAAUAUUAAUUAUUAAUUAAAUUUGGAAUAUUUAAUUACAUUUCUAAUUUAUUAACAUUCAUUUUUCAACUUUAUUUUCCUGAUCUCCUUCUUUUUCCAGCAAAACCCUAAUUUCAUUUCAUUGAAGAAUUUCUGAAACCAUCAGAAAUUUAUUUAUUUUCAUAUUUUUUGUGAAACAAUUUUCACCAUUGAAGCUCUGAGCAUACUUUGCAGCGGCAAAUAUUAAGCCAUAGUACAGUAUUUGUUACUCUUAAUUUUAACUGUUGACUUUUUUCAAGUCAGAUUGUGAUCUUCGCAGAAUCAAGGCUCUGUUUGCUUGAAAUUGUUGUGUUUGAACUCGGCUGAUUCUGUUACUGUUGUUCACAAAAGAUUUCAUCUUUUUUUCAUUUUUAUCCUGAAAUGUUGACUGAAAGAUGGUUGUUUUGGAGUAUUUUAUGCUAAAAAAAAUUUGGACUUUGAUUUUGGUUUAAGUUUCUAGUGUUUUGUGGGUUUUAGAUAUUUUGUAUUUUUGUUUUACUUUUGAGGCUUAAUCGUGUUCUUUGAAUGGAGGGGAAAGAAGAUUUACAGAGUUCUGGGGUCAUGAAAGGAGAUGAAGUUCCAGAUACCUACCGGGUUGCAGCAAGGAGUGAAAAUCCUGUCCAAUUCAGUGAAUCCACAACUCCGGUGCUCCCAUUCAGUGCAUCCACAACUCUGGUAGCAGCGACAGCACCGAUAGCAGUGUUAGCACCACCAGUGGCGGCACAACCACAAGCAAUGGCAGCACCGCCCGCAACACCGGUCAGCGGGGCGACGCCAGGCACGGAACUGAAGAAGAAGAGGGGGAGACCGAGAAAGUAUGGACCUGAUGGAAAGC